This 133-nucleotide small nucleolar RNA is filed under the name Pongo abelii (Sumatran orangutan). The record is from RNAcentral. Lineage: Eukaryota; Metazoa; Chordata; Mammalia; Primates; Hominidae.
AAGAUUCAACAGAUACCCUACUGCCUCUCUUUGUGGCUGCGGGGCUCAGGCUGCAGCACCACAGCACUGUGUGUGUAUAACUGGGGCCACCUGCCCCUUCCAAGUGUGGGCCUUUUAACCUCUGUCGACAGGU